RNAcentral lists this ribosomal RNA (524 nucleotides) under Clostridiaceae bacterium 2bZ. Its description in RNAcentral is "bacterial SSU rRNA". It matches the Rfam family "Bacterial small subunit ribosomal RNA", at positions 1 to 527 of the family's 1533-position model. Lineage: Bacteria; Bacillati; Bacillota; Clostridia; Eubacteriales; Clostridiaceae. The record is from RNAcentral.
UAGAGUUUGAUCAUGGCUCAGGACGAACGCUGGCGGCGUGCCUAACACAUGCAAGUCGAGCGAAGUGACUCGGAGAGAAGUUUUCGAAUGGAUCGAAGAGUCAUCUUAGCGGCGGACGGGUGAGUAACGCGUGAGAAACCUGCCUUUCACAAAGGGAUAGCCUCGGGAAACUGGGAUUAAUACCUUAUGAAACUGAAUUACCGCAUGGUAGAUCAGUCAAAGCGAAUAAGCGGCGAAAGAUGGUCUCGCGUCCUAUUAGCUAGUUGGUGAGGUAACGGCUCACCAAGGCUUCGAUAGGUAGCCGGCCUGAGAGGGUGAACGGCCACACUGGAACUGAGACACGGUCCAGACUCCUACGGGAGGCAGCAGUGGGGAAUAUUGCACAAUGGAGGAAACUCUGAUGCAGCGACGCCGCGUGAAUGAUGAAGGCCUUCGGGUUGUAAAGUUCUGUCCUUGGGGAAGAUAAUGACGGUACCCAAGGAGGAAGCCCCGGCUAACUACGUGCCAGCCGCCGCGGUAAUACA